Molecule: ribosomal RNA, 375 nt
Filed under: uncultured bacterium
Lineage: Bacteria
Description: bacterial SSU rRNA
Rfam family: Bacterial small subunit ribosomal RNA
Source: RNAcentral
GACGAACGCUGGCGGCGUGCUUAACACAUGCAAGUCGAGCGGUAAGGCCCUUUCGGGGGUACACGAGCGGCGAACGGGUGAGUAACACGUGGGUGACUUGCCCUCAGCUCUGGGAUAAGCCCGGGAAACUGGGUCUAAUACUGGAUAUGACUCCACGGUGCAUGCCGUGGGGUGGAAAGCCUUGUGCGGCUGAGGAUGGGCCCGCGGCCUAUCAGCUUGUUGGUGGGGUGAUGGCCUACCAAGGCGACGACGGGUAGCCGGCCUGAGAGGGCGACCGGCCACACUGGGACUGAGACACGGCCCAGACUCCUACGGGAGGCAGCAGUGGGGAAUCUUGCGCAAUGGGCGAAAGCCUGACGCAGCGACGCCGCGUGA